AAGGGGUGAUACUGCAUAGGAUGUAGUAUCUGAGAUGUCAUUUGACGAACCCUUAGAACCUGAUCCGGCUUAUACCGGCGUAGGAAUGGGCCUAAUUU
RNAcentral lists this non-coding RNA (98 nucleotides) under Shewanella hanedai. RNAcentral describes it as "TPP riboswitch (THI element)". It matches the Rfam family "TPP riboswitch aptamer (THI element)", at positions 10 to 100 of the family's 105-position model. Rfam says of the family: Vitamin B(1) in its active form thiamin pyrophosphate (TPP) is an essential coenzyme that is synthesised by coupling of pyrimidine and thiazole moieties in bacteria. The record is from RNAcentral. Lineage: Bacteria; Pseudomonadati; Pseudomonadota; Gammaproteobacteria; Alteromonadales; Shewanellaceae.